AAUAUGUGGACAGGACCUUAAUCAGCAUCCUGGAAGUGGAAAGCACGGAAGGCCUGUGUCCCACAUCACAGACAGGUAAUGCGUUGCUCCUUAAGCAGGGGCCUGUUUGACGGAUAGUCCCAUCUAAUACUCACCGCACAUUUUAGCCUCAGAGCGAAACGUGCUGCGCACUCCGUCUGACUCGUCAGCCGAACAAACUCUCCUCUCUCUGCUUCUAGGUGCAGCGUGUAGCCAAAGCAGCACAGGGGGGGGGCCCCGUGGGGAGGAGGGGGCGGUGCAGCAGCGCACCCCUCCGGCUGUGGGUGUGCUGGGCGGCGACCCCCGGGAGGCUGCGCGGGAUGUGGAAGGGUCAUCCCAGCAUGCCCCGCAGCCGGUCACUGCUGAGAGGUGCCGGCACAUCGGUGAGAAGAACGUGUGCCCGGAGAAUUGCCCCGCCAUUGACCCAGAGGAGCCCGGUCUCUCUACAGAGUGUCACAAACACUCUGAUACACAGACAGAUAAAGCUUUGCAGUAUUCCCAUUUCGGGCCACAGGCUGAUAACAGUGGGCACCCAGGCAGGCCGGCGAGUGGGACAGAGUGGGUUGAUGUUGAAGCAGGCCGGGACCACGCGCUGCAGCCGGGAAGUACAGGUGGACUGGUGGUCAUCAGUGGCACAGACACGGGACAGGAUCUCCCGGAGAAUGAGAAAUUGGAAUAUAAACGUGAGUUUGGAACGGAGGAACAUGCCGGUGUACGUUCAUCAACAAACCUCCCCUCGGAAUCCUGCUCAACAGCCUCCCCUCUUACCCUCAGCCCAAAUAAAGAUACAGUCCCGCACCGCGCACAAGAAAGAGGAAUGGAUCGGCCGCGGACAACUCCGCCUACUCCGGCCAGCCAGGCCAGCCAUGUACCUCUGUCUCAAGUCAGCGAGAAACCAGGCCUUCCCCCAAAUGCUGAGCACCCUCCACCCCCGGGGCCCAUCACAGGCCAUAACGAUGGGACACAAACGGACGUCUCCACGGGACCUAAAAUCACUACGCAGGACUCGAGUGAUGGCAAGGGAGCAAUAUGUGGUGCUAGUGCAGAUGAGCGGGGACCACAGGAAACGGGAGGAUCUACAGGGAAGUGCGAGACCGGACGUGCCACGCACGGGAGUUCACACCCACCGACGCCGCUCCCAUCAACUAAAGUGUCAUGGACCCCUCAGGGGGGAGAGACACACCCCGGACUGGUCCCCUACACACCACCUGGCAGUGGAAAUUCCACCCCGAACUACUCAGCCGAGCGACAGGGAAGCGAGAGCGACCCCCAGAACAGUCCCCCACGUGCAGCAGUGGAACAGACGGAGACCAACAGGGCAGAGGUGGACCCUGAAGUUGCCGAUCUCUCGCCGGACCUUACGAUCCGGCCACAAAGCUCUCCUCGUCCGGAGAUGCCCAGCACGGCACCAACGGCGCCAGCCCCUGCCGUCUGCCACCUCCACAGGACAGAACUAGACUUAAUGCAGACAGACCAGCCUGUCCAAGUUCAGACUGCCGAUUCGGACACCCCACUGGCCUCUGAGCUCUCGAUCCCGGCGAUUGCUCACGGCGCCGUGGUGCUUGGCGGAGAGAGCGGCCUGGAGUUUUCAGAGGAGUUGCAAGUGAAUCAGUGUGUCUUCCUGAAAGAACAUGUUAGCGGGGACGCUGCUGUUGUUGAGUUGCACGCUGAUCUCUCUGCCGGAGAACCCAAGUCAUUUAUAGAAGGGACCCAUUCAGAAAUCGGAAUGGCUUCGCUGGCUGGGGCAGAAUUUGAGAUUUAUAGCUUUGUGGAGGAGGAGAUUGCGACAGAGGUUGUCGAAGACCGGCUGUCUCUCUCCCCGAGCUAUGAGGUAAACUUAUUCACCCCGGUCAUUGAACACUCCGAGAGUGAGGGACAACACAUACACGUAUUGUCUUCCCUGCAAAUGGCUAAUGACGACAGUCACGUCGUCUUGCAGCACGGCCCCCUUACGUCAGAUCACGGCCUCUUAGAAAUGGAGGUGUGCUCAAAUGACUUCACCCCAACCAUCUCCCCACACGACACGGGGAUGUCUGAUGAAGGGCAGAAUUUCCAGGCCGAAAACACAACUGCGGAAGUGUCCGCGGCGGAAGGGUCGGCUAAUAUCUGUUUGAUUCCGACUGUCCCCGUCUUGGAUACGCCACAUGUACGGACAAACGCCGCCACGGAAGCCACGACUCGGUGUCCGGAGGCCGUCCCGGACCACAGAAGGGUGGACGUCGCCGUGGCCGCCUCCUUCGGUGACGCACAAACGCUGCCAGGGCGGACUGGAACGGGAGUGACGGCCAGUACGUCUUCCCUGGUCGUCCCAAUGGCAGAAUUAACAGAGGAGCUUGUGGAGUCAACCGGUCAGCGCUGCGCAGAGGUCCUCUCAUCCCCGAACACCGUACAUCUGUUAGAGAGCGGCGUGAUGAACUGUCCUUCACUAGACCAGGCCCCGGGACUCUCCUUAGAAAAUACCACCAUAUCCGAGCCCUGUUCUUUGUCUGUUGACGGGUCCAGUGAUCCAGAGCCCUGUCCCGCUGCCAUAGAAAUGCCGAUGCAGAUCCAGCAGGACAUUGAUUGUGCCGUUACUGUGACGACAGCCAAGGACAGCCCAGGGGCUUCCCAGUGCGCACUCCCUCCCGGCAUCAUCGACCCAAGUCUUCUCCUCCUAAAGCCCGAGGACACGGCCCUCCUCAAACGCCCGCCCUCCUUCCUGUUGGGGACGACCAGACUGCCGAGCGACGGCCGGGCACAGACCGGCGUCAGCGGCUUGGACACAGCGCCUGCAAUGGAGUGCCUUCCCGAAGCCGCGCUGGGACCUGCGCCGGCGUGCGUCUCUGUCGACCGCCACGAAGAGCAGAGCAUGUCACGUGUGGACUUGGAGCCCGGCGCGACAUCGUCUUCUACGCUCACCACGAACACCGCGUUGCAGCGCCGUCUCUCUAACCCCGCGCCAUGCAGAUCCGACGACGAGGCCUUAACUCCGAUCAAAGCGUCCCCGGGGCCAGCGGGGACCGUUUUGCGAACCCUGGACCCUCCCGACGCCCCGCCUGAGCACUUCUCCGGCCACAUGUUGCCCUCAACCUCGGGCAGUGUGUCUAGGGGUAAGCUCUUCGGUUACUCCAGCGACGGUGGCCAGGCCGGGCCACCGCCGGUCAUCCGGCCACGGCUUGCCGGUGUGAAGGGCCCGGGGUUCGGCGGCCCCAAGGACGAGAGCAGUGAUGGAGAGGAUGACCUGGCAGAGGAGGACAAGGCCAGCCACCGAAGCAUGGGUUCCCCCGGUGGAGCGGAGAGCAAGGUACGCCAGUGGAUAGCUGACAGGGUCACGCCAAGUUCAUCUCCCGUGUCCCCUGGUCCUGACCCAUCCUCCUCCAGUGACUGGACCCCCAGCACCACUCCAAUCCCUCUCAGAGGCGCCCAUGGCAGGUUCCUCUCUCCUCCCACUACGGGCCCUGGGGGUUCCUCCCCGUCGGACCCGGUCACCCCCCAUCGCCCUCGAAUGGAGCGCCACGCCGACAUGGCCGAGCUGGCCAAACACGAAGCGGAGAUAGAGGGCAGGACCCUAGCACUGAAAAAGGAAGGAUUCUGGUCGAUGAAGCGACUGACCCGUUUGACGGAGCCAGUCCGAACCAAGGUGCACUGGGACUACCUGUGUGAGGAAAUGCAGUGGCUCUCGGCAGACUUUGCCCAGGAGAGAAGGUGGAAAAGAGGGGUCGCCAGGAAGGUGGUGCGGAUGGUGAUGCGUCACCACGAGGACCUGCGGCAGAAAGAGGAGAAGGCGAAGAGGGACGAGCACGCCAAAAUCAGACGGGUCGCCUCCAACAUUGCCAAGGAGGUGCGGGCCUUCUGGAGCAGCGUGGAGAAGGUGGUGCAGUACAAGCAGCAGUCCCGGCUGGAGGAGAAGCGGAAGAAGGCUCUGGACCUCCAGCUGGACUUCAUCGUGGGCCAGACGGAGAAAUACUCCGACCUCCUCAGCCAGGCCCUGGAAACGGCCCCGGCUGGGAUCAGUGAACCUGCGUCCUCACCGCACAGACGACAUCUUCCGCCUGCCGUGGAUGAGGAGGACUUUGAGCCUCCAUGUGGUGAGGAGGAGGAUGACGAGGAGACCAUCGAUGUGGAGGAGGCGCAGGAUGGCAAUGAUGCUGAGACCCAGAGGAGAGAGAUUGAGCUGCUAAGACAGGAGGGGACCAUGUCCCUGGCGGAGCUGCUGAGUACCCUCAAAAGGCCCCAGUCACAGGUGGAGACAUUCUGUGAGACACUUUCGUACUUUACUUCCUGUGACAUGAGUAUGGAGGAGCUGCUGGAGAAGUAUAAAGGAGCAUACGCCUCUGAUUUCGAGGAGCCCUCAACAUCCGCCUCCCCCGCUAGCUCGGACCAGUCUGAAAACUCUGGAGAAGAAGAUGAGGAGGAGGAGGAGAGCGAGGAAGAUGAAAGUGACGUGGAAAAUAGGUCAAAGCAUGCCUUUACACUGUCAUCAAGUGGUUUCAGUUAUAGUGAAGAGGAAGAGGUCAGUGAAAACGAGGAGGACAGUAAUGAAGACGAGUGUGACGAGGGGAUGGAGAUCUUGCUGAAGGAGGGGGACCACAGCCCCCCACUACCAGCCGGCCAGCGACCCAAGAAGGAGAUCAGCCACAUUGCCGCCACGGCAGAGAGCCUGCAGCCCAAAGGCUACACCCUGGCCACAACCAAGGUCAAAACUCCCAUUCCGUUCCUGCUGGUGGGCCAGCUGCGGGAGUACCAGCACAUUGGCCUGGACUGGCUGGUCACCAUGUACGAGAAGAAGCUCAACGGCAUCCUGGCUGACGAGAUGGGCCUGGGGAAGACCAUCCAGACCAUCGCCUUGCUCGCUCACCUGGCCUGUGAAAAGGGUAACUGGGGGCCUCACCUGAUCAUCGUGCCGACCAGUGUGAUGCUGAACUGGGAGAUGGAGCUGAAGCGUUGGUGUCCUGGAUUCAAAAUCCUCACUUACUACGGCAGUCAGAAGGAGAGGAAACUGAAGAGACAGGGAUGGACGAAGCCCAAUGCCUUCCACGUGUGCAUCACCUCAUACAAGCUGGUGCUCCAGGACCACCAGGCCUUUCGACGCAAGUCCUGGCGGUACCUGAUCCUGGACGAGGCCCAGAACAUCAAGAACUUCAAGUCCCAGCGCUGGCAGAGCCUGCUGAACUUCAACAGCCAGAGGCGGUUGCUCCUGACGGGCACCCCUCUACAGAACAGCCUGAUGGAGCUGUGGUCCCUCAUGCACUUCCUCAUGCCCCACGUCUUCCAGUCCCACCGGGAGUUCAAGGAGUGGUUCUCCAACCCGCUCACCGGCAUGAUCGAGGGCAGCCAGGAGUACAACGAGGGCCUGGUCAAGAGGCUGCACAAGGUGCUCCGGCCGUUCCUUCUGAGGAGAAUCAAGGCGGACGUGGAGAAGCAGAUGCCUAAGAAGUACGAGCAUGUGGUCCGUUGCCGUCUGUCCAAGAGACAGCGUUUCCUCUACGAUGACUUCAUGGCACAGGCCUCCACUCGGGAAACGCUGGCCAGCGGUCACUUCAUGUCUGUGAUCAACAUCUUGAUGCAGCUCCGUAAAGUGUGUAACCACCCCAACCUGUUUGACCCGCGGCCAAUCCACUCCCCCUUCAUCACCAAGCCCAUCAUAUUCCACACAGCCUCCCUGGUGCAGCAAGCCCUGGAGAUCUCUCCAUUUAAGGUGUGUAUGUGUCUGAGCUGUGCGGCCUGA
Long non-coding RNA from Esox lucius (northern pike), 5725 nucleotides. NCBI's taxonomy places the organism in Eukaryota, Metazoa, Chordata, Actinopteri, Esociformes, Esocidae. The record is from Ensembl.